UACGGAGGGGGCUAGCGUUGUUCGGAAUUACUGGGCGUAAAGCGCGCGUAGGCGGACCUGCAAGUCGGGGGUGAAAGCCCGAGGCUCAACCUCGGAACUGCCUUCGAUACUGCGGGUCUCGAGUCCGGGAGAGGUGAGUGGAAUUCCUAGUGUAGAGGUGAAAUUCGUAGAUAUUAGGAAGAACACCAGUGGCGAAGGCGGCUCACUGGCCCGGUACUGACGCUGAGACGCGAAAGCGUGGGGAGCAAACAGG
RNAcentral lists this ribosomal RNA (253 nucleotides) under uncultured bacterium. RNAcentral's name for it is "partial 16S ribosomal RNA". It matches the Rfam family "Bacterial small subunit ribosomal RNA", at positions 524 to 776 of the family's 1533-position model. The record is from RNAcentral.